This is a long non-coding RNA of Ictalurus punctatus (channel catfish), 441 nucleotides long. The record is from Ensembl. Lineage: Eukaryota; Metazoa; Chordata; Actinopteri; Siluriformes; Ictaluridae.
AGAUCAUUUAAGCCAGUGAGAGUGGGUGAGUGUGAUGGAGGGAAGUGGAAAACGGAGAAAGAGACGGAGUGACCAUCGGAGACAUGGGAGAAAGUGGCAAAGUUCAACCGUGAACAUAAAGGCAAGAGAAGAAGAGUCCAUGCUGUUUCAGUGUCCUAGAACAGCAGGGACAGGCGAGAUCAUCAGAGGUCAAAGGUACAUUCCAGGUGGAACGCUGGGAAGCACUAAAACGAGCUACAAAGAGAAAUCGACAGUCAGAUGGCGCGACUGUCAAAGGGUUCACGCGGGUUAUCGCUACCGCCGAUAAGACAAGCAAACUACAGUGCAGGAGGCAAACAAGCGAAGUGAACAAGGUGAUUAAUCACACGGUCAUUAAAAGCCAAUCACUUCCCAGUUUAUACACUUAGUUGUCAGUUUAUUAGGUACACCAUGAUUAGCUAC